Molecule: ribosomal RNA, 563 nt
Filed under: Paracucumis turricata
Lineage: Eukaryota; Metazoa; Echinodermata; Holothuroidea; Dendrochirotida; Paracucumidae
Description: partial 16S ribosomal RNA
Rfam family: Bacterial large subunit ribosomal RNA
Source: RNAcentral
UCGCCUGUUUUAUCAAAAACAUAGCUCCUUGAAAUUUAUAAGGAGUUAAGCCUGCCCAAUGGAAUUAAUCUAAAUGGCCGCGGUAUCUUGACCGUGCAAAGGUAGCAUAAUCACUUGUCUCCUAAAUAGAGACUAGUAUGAAUGGCACAACAUUUUCUAACUGUCUCCUUUAUUUCCCCUUAAAACUUCUAUUAACGUGAAGAAGCGUUAUUAAAAAAGAAAGACGAGAAGACCCCGUCGAGCUUCAACUUCUAAAAGAAAUUUAAUACCUUAUAAAAGAAUUUAAAAUCUAAAAAGAAGUUUUGGUUGGGGCAACCAUGGAGUAAAAAAAACCUCCAGAUAUUAAAAAAGAUUAUAAAUCACUUAAUUUAAACAAAGAACCAUCAACAAUGAUUUACAGAAAUAGUUACCGCAGGGAUAACAGCGUCAUCUCCUUUAAGAGUUCACAUUGACAAGGAGGAUUGCGACCUCGAUGUUGGAUUGGGACUACCUAAGGGUGCAGCAGCUCUUCUAGGUUGGACUGUUCGUCCAAUAAUCCCCCACGUGAUCUGAGUUCAGACCGG